This 253-nucleotide ribosomal RNA is filed under the name uncultured bacterium. RNAcentral's name for it is "partial 16S ribosomal RNA". It matches the Rfam family "Bacterial small subunit ribosomal RNA", at positions 524 to 776 of the family's 1533-position model. The record is from RNAcentral.
UACGAAGGGGGCUAGCGUUGCUCGGAAUCACUGGGCGUAAAGGGUGCGUAGGCGGGUCUUAAGUCAGGGGUGAAAUCCUGGAGCUCAACUCCAGAACUGCCUUUGAUACUGAAGAUCUUGAGUUCGGGAGAGGUGAGUGGAACUGCGGAGUGUAGAGGUGAAAUUCGUAGAUAUUCGCAAGAACACCAGUGGCGAAGGCGGCUCACUGGCCCGAUACUGACGCUGAGGCACGAAAGCGUGGGGAGCAAACAGG